GACGAACGCUGGCGGCGUGCUUAACACAUGCAAGUCGAACGGAAAGGCCCUGCUUUUGUGGGGUGCUCGAGUGGCGAACGGGUGAGUAACACGGGAGUAACCUGCCCUUGACUUUGGGAUAACUUCAGGAAACUGGGGCUAAUACCGGAUAGGAGCUCCUGCUGCAUGGUGGGGGUUGGAAAGUUUCGGCGGUUAGGGAUGGACUCGCGGCUUAUCAGCUUGUUGGUGGGGUAGUGGCUUACCAAGGCUUUGACGGGUAGCCGGCCUGAGAGGGUGACCGGCCACAUUGGGACUGAGAUACGGCCCAGACUCCUACGGGAGACAGCAGUGGAGAAUAUUGCACAAUGGGCGGAAGCCUGAUGCAGCAACGCCGCGUGCGGGAUGACGGCCUUCGUGUUGUAAACCGCUUUCGCCUGUGACGAAGCGUGAGUGACGGUAAUGGGUAAAGAAGCACCGGCUAACUACGUG
Molecule: ribosomal RNA, 468 nt
Filed under: uncultured bacterium
Lineage: Bacteria
Description: partial 16S ribosomal RNA
Rfam family: Bacterial small subunit ribosomal RNA
Source: RNAcentral